AUCCGAAUACUCAUACUAACGUACUAAUCAGUAGGCGAGACGCAGUACGUCACAGUAGUAGUACGUCCGAAUGCUUAGUAGGCAUCAACUAGUAGGCGAAAAGUACCCGGAUGGCCUACUACCUCCACAGUAUACAACGGUUGGUCACUACGCUAUCCCACAAAUCACCGGGGGUCAAAUAACCGUAGAAGAAGACAAGCCGCCGGGAAAAUCAAAGGUGACGGGCCGACAGCGACAACUUCAACCGAUGUUUAUAAAUGCAACACUGAUCAGCUACCUGCACCCCUUUGGAUGAAGAAGGCUGCAUUUGCGAACCAAUUCUUGUGACAAGACAAGAGAGCAGAGUUAUUAAUACUUUUGGUUUACCACAUCCACAACAUGGCCAACUGGAGCACCCACAAGGAUCUCGUGAAGGAAGUCCACAAGCCCUUUUGCUUCAGUUUGGAUACAACCCCCGGCUGGUAUUGCUGCUGAAACAGGUGGAGACAACAAUGAAGAAGAGGCACCAGAAAGGAAGACCAGUGGCCAAGAGUGUGUGUGUGUGCGCGCACGUGCGUGUGUGCGUGCGUUUAUGUCAGCAUGUGUGUAACUGGGUUGGUCAUGGUACAAAAAUACAGAAUUUAAAGCACCCACACCACACUUGAAUCACAAGCCACAACUACUGACAAUGGAAUGGCUGGGUUUCCCAGAUUCGUUAGGAAGCUCUUCAGUGCUAAGAACUUCUUAGGAGCGCUCAAAGAACGCUCCUAAGAAGUUCUUAACACUUAAAAGCUUCUUUUAAAAGCUUCUUAAAAUAUUUAUGUAACACUACCUAUG
Molecule: long non-coding RNA, 816 nt
Organism: Sardina pilchardus (European sardine)
Lineage: Eukaryota; Metazoa; Chordata; Actinopteri; Clupeiformes; Clupeidae
Exons: 4
Source: RefSeq, a predicted model, not a curated record